RNAcentral lists this ribosomal RNA (2839 nucleotides) under Escherichia coli. RNAcentral describes it as "partial 23S ribosomal RNA". It matches the Rfam family "Bacterial large subunit ribosomal RNA". RNAcentral also lists the same sequence under 1 other name. The record is from RNAcentral. Lineage: Bacteria; Pseudomonadati; Pseudomonadota; Gammaproteobacteria; Enterobacterales; Enterobacteriaceae.
CUGCGAUAAGCGUCGGUGAGGUGAUAUGAACCGUUAUAACCGGCGAUUUCCGAAUGGGGAAACCCAGUGUGUUUCGACACACUAUCAUUAACUGAAUCCAUAGGUUAAUGAGGCGAACCGGGGGAACUGAAACAUCUAAGUACCCCGAGGAAAAGAAAUCAACCGAGAUUCCCCCAGUAGCGGCGAGCGAACGGGGAGGAGCCCAGAGCCUGAAUCAGUGUGUGUGUUAGUGGAAGCGUCUGGAAAGGCGCGCGAUACAGGGUGACAGCCCCGUACACAAAAAUGCACAUAUUGUGAGCUCGAUGAGUAGGGCGGGACACGUGGUAUCCUGUCUGAAUAUGGGGGGACCAUCCUCCAAGGCUAAAUACUCCUGACUGACCGAUAGUGAACCAGUACCGUGAGGGAAAGGCGAAAAGAACCCCGGCGAGGGGAGUGAAAAAGAACCUGAAACCGUGUACGUACAAGCAGUGGGAGCCUCUUUAUGGGGUGACUGCGUACCUUUUGUAUAAUGGGUCAGCGACUUAUAUUCUGUAGCAAGGUUAACCGAAUAGGGGAGCCGAAGGGAAACCGAGUCUUAACUGGGCGUUAAGUUGCAGGGUAUAGACCCGAAACCCGGUGAUCUAGCCAUGGGCAGGUUGAAGGUUGGGUAACACUAACUGGAGGACCGAACCGACUAAUGUUGAAAAAUUAGCGGAUGACUUGUGGCUGGGGGUGAAAGGCCAAUCAAACCGGGAGAUAGCUGGUUCUCCCCGAAAGCUAUUUAGGUAGCGCCUCGUGAAUUCAUCUCCGGGGGUAGAGCACUGUUUCGGCAAGGGGGUCAUCCCGACUUACCAACCCGAUGCAAACUGCGAAUACCGGAGAAUGUUAUCACGGGAGACACACGGCGGGUGCUAACGUCCGUCGUGAAGAGGGAAACAACCCAGACCGCCAGCUAAGGUCCCAAAGUCAUGGUUAAGUGGGAAACGAUGUGGGAAGGCCCAGACAGCCAGGAUGUUGGCUUAGAAGCAGCCAUCAUUUAAAGAAAGCGUAAUAGCUCACUGGUCGAGUCGGCCUGCGCGGAAGAUGUAACGGGGCUAAACCAUGCACCGAAGCUGCGGCAGCGACACUAUGUGUUGUUGGGUAGGGGAGCGUUCUGUAAGCCUGUGAAGGUGGCCUGUGAGGGUUGCUGGAGGUAUCAGAAGUGCGAAUGCUGACAUAAGUAACGAUAAAGCGGGUGAAAAGCCCGCUCGCCGGAAGACCAAGGGUUCCUGUCCAACGUUAAUCGGGGCAGGGUGAGUCGACCCCUAAGGCGAGGCCGAAAGGCGUAGUCGAUGGGAAACAGGUUAAUAUUCCUGUACUUGGUGUUACUGCGAAGGGGGGACGGAGAAGGCUAUGUUGGCCGGGCGACGGUUGUCCCGGUUUAAGCGUGUAGGCUGGUUUUCCAGGCAAAUCCGGAAAACCAAGGCUGAGGCGUGAUGACGAGGCACUACGGUGCUGAAGCGACAAAUGCCCUGCUUCCAGGAAAAGCCUCUAAGCAUCAGGUAACAUCAAAUCGUACCCCAAACCGACACAGGUGGUCAGGUAGAGAAUACCAAGGCGCUUGAGAGAACUCGGGUGAAGGAACUAGGCAAAAUGGUGCCGUAACUUCGGGAGAAGGCACGCUGAUAUGUAGGUGAAGCGACUUGCUCGUGGAGCUGAAAUCAGUCGAAGAUACCAGCUGGCUGCAACUGUUUAUUAAAAACACAGCACUGUGCAAACACGAAAGUGGACGUAUACGGUGUGACGCCUGCCCGGUGCCGGAAGGUUAAUUGAUGGGGUUAGCGGUAACGCGAAGCUCUUGAUCGAAGCCCCGGUAAACGGCGGCCGUAACUAUAACGGUCCUAAGGUAGCGAAAUUCCUUGUCGGGUAAGUUCCGACCUGCACGAAUGGCGUAAUGAUGGCCAGGCUGUCUCCACCCGAGACUCAGUGAAAUUGAACUCGCUGUGAAGAUGCAGUGUACCCGCGGCAAGACGGAAAGACCCCGUGAACCUUUACUAUAGCUUGACACUGAACAUUGAGCCUUGAUGUGUAGGAUAGGUGGGAGGCUUUGAAGUGUGGACGCCAGUCUGCAUGGAGCCGACCUUGAAAUACCACCCUUUAAUGUUUGAUGUUCUAACGUUGGCCCGUAAUCCGGGUUGCGGACAGUGUCUGGUGGGUAGUUUGACUGGGGCGGUCUCCUCCUAAAGAGUAACGGAGGAGCACGAAGGUUGGCUAAUCCUGGUCGGACAUCAGGAGGUUAGUGCAAUGGCAUAAGCCAGCUUGACUGCGAGCGUGACGGCGCGAGCAGGUGCGAAAGCAGGUCAUAGUGAUCCGGUGGUUCUGAAUGGAAGGGCCAUCGCUCAACGGAUAAAAGGUACUCCGGGGAUAACAGGCUGAUACCGCCCAAGAGUUCAUAUCGACGGCGGUGUUUGGCACCUCGAUGUCGGCUCAUCACAUCCUGGGGCUGAAGUAGGUCCCAAGGGUAUGGCUGUUCGCCAUUUAAAGUGGUACGCGAGCUGGGUUUAGAACGUCGUGAGACAGUUCGGUCCCUAUCUGCCGUGGGCGCUGGAGAACUGAGGGGGGCUGCUCCUAGUACGAGAGGACCGGAGUGGACGCAUCACUGGUGUUCGGGUUGUCAUGCCAAUGGCACUGCCCGGUAGCUAAAUGCGGAAGAGAUAAGUGCUGAAAGCAUCUAAGCACGAAACUUGCCCCGAGAUGAGUUCUCCCUGAGACUUAGAGUCUCCUGAAGGAACGUUGAAGACGACGACGUUGAUAGGCCGGGUGUGUAAGCGCAGCGAUGCGUUGAGCUAACCGGUACUAAUGAACCGUGAGGCUUAACCUU